CAAUCAUCUACAAGUUCCUCUCUGAUCUCUCUAAUAUUUUAAAACCCCUAAAUUCUCCAUUUCAAAAAAUGUCUGUAAAUUUUGAGAAGCGGUGCUUUUCCGGCGACCCUGCUUAUGCCACCAGCGACUAGAAUCUAGAAAUUGCGUUCUCUCACGUUAUUCGAUUUAAUGAUCACUAGCGUCUAGCGAUCGCGAAACUGGGGGAUCAAGAGGAUUAUGAUUUGUGACGAGAACAGGACUCUUUAAAGGAAGCGACAGUGGAUGAGACCGUGGUGGUGGUGGGUGGCCGCCGUGAGGUGGAUUACGGAGGCGGUGACGGAGGGAGCAAUUGGCGACUCUAUCUCCUUUGCAAAGAGUUUGAUGUUGUGUCACUUUUCUUCUGCAACAACAAAUUGGAGAGCCACAGAAUUCUUAUGGGUUGUUCGCAAUCAUUCAACCAAAUGCAUACACAUACAUACAUGCAUUCAUUCAUACACACAUACAUGCAUUCAUUCAUACACACAUACAUGCAUACAUGCAGUCAUUUAUACAUACAUACAUACAUACAUA
Arabidopsis thaliana (thale cress) is the source of this 549-nucleotide non-coding RNA. The record is from RefSeq. Lineage: Eukaryota; Viridiplantae; Streptophyta; Magnoliopsida; Brassicales; Brassicaceae.